GACAGAGGUGCCAAGCGUUAGGCGGAAUCACUGGGCUUAAAGCGUGUGUAGGUGGACUGGUAAGUACCUUGUGAAAUCCCACGGCUCAACCGUGGAACUGCUUGGUAUACUGCUGGUCUUGAGCAACCUAGGGGCGAGCGGAACAAAUGGUGGAGCGGUGAAAUGCGUAGAUAUCAUUUGGAACGCCAAUGGUGAAAACAGCUCGCUGGGGGUUUGCUGACACUGAGACACGAAAGCUAGGGGAGCAAACGGG
Molecule: ribosomal RNA, 253 nt
Filed under: uncultured bacterium
Lineage: Bacteria
Description: partial 16S ribosomal RNA
Rfam family: Bacterial small subunit ribosomal RNA
Source: RNAcentral